AUUAAAAUAACCUGAGAAGUAUAAUAUUUUUAAAAAACCUAAUAUACACUGGCAGCAUUUCAACUUAUUAGAGGAACAUGUCUUAUAAUCGAAAAUACACGUUAAAUUUUACUUACUUUAAUAUUUUAUAUACCUCCGUAUAGACUUUUUUUAAAAAUUCUUUCAAAAAAACCUUCUAACAAAAUAGGUAAAGGUGUAAACAACAAGUAAGAUAAUGAUGUGUUACAAUAAAUUUUAUUUAAAAUUAAAUUUUUAAAAAAAAUGAAAUGCAGAAUUUAAAAGUAAUAACCAAAUAAAAAUUAUUUAUGAAUAAGAUAAUAAAUGUGC
RNAcentral lists this ribosomal RNA (327 nucleotides) under Gelanor sp. GH864. Its description in RNAcentral is "partial 12S ribosomal RNA". The record is from RNAcentral. Lineage: Eukaryota; Metazoa; Arthropoda; Arachnida; Araneae; Mimetidae.